Molecule: ribosomal RNA, 556 nt
Filed under: Botryosphaeria dothidea
Lineage: Eukaryota; Fungi; Ascomycota; Dothideomycetes; Botryosphaeriales; Botryosphaeriaceae
Description: eukaryotic LSU rRNA
Rfam family: 5.8S ribosomal RNA (bases 183-336)
Source: RNAcentral
AAAUCGUACUUGAUUCGGGCUCGGCCGAUCCUCCCACCCUUUGUGUACCUACCUCUGUUGCUUUGGCGGGCCGCGGUCCUCCGCGGCCGCCCCCCUCCCCGGGGGGGUGGCCAGCGCCCGCCAGAGGACCAUCAAACUCCAGUCAGUAAACGAUGCAGUCUGAAAAACAUUUAAUAAACUAAAACUUUCAACAACGGAUCUCUUGGUUCUGGCAUCGAUGAAGAACGCAGCGAAAUGCGAUAAGUAAUGUGAAUUGCAGAAUUCAGUGAAUCAUCGAAUCUUUGAACGCACAUUGCGCCCUUUGGUAUUCCGAAGGGCAUGCCUGUUCGAGCGUCAUUACAACCCUCAAGCUCUGCUUGGUAUUGGGCACCGUCCUUUGCGGGCGCGCCUCAAAGACCUCGGCGGUGGCGUCUUGCCUCAAGCGUAGUAGAACAUACAUCUCGCUUCGGAGCGCAGGGCGUCGCCCGCCGGACGAACCUUCUGAACUUUUCUCAAGGUUGACCUCGGAUCAGGUAGGGAUACCCGCUGAACUUAAGCAUAUCAUAAGGCGGAGGAA